This 429-nucleotide ribosomal RNA is filed under the name uncultured archaeon. RNAcentral's name for it is "bacterial SSU rRNA". It matches the Rfam family "Archaeal small subunit ribosomal RNA", at positions 474 to 903 of the family's 1478-position model. The record is from RNAcentral.
UACCUGCAGCUCAAGUGGUGGCCGCUAUUAUUGGGCCUAAAACGUCCGUAGCCGGUUUGGUAAAUGCCUGGGUAAAUCGUGUAGCUUAACUAUACGAAUUCCGGGUAGACUGCCAAACUUGAGACCGGGAGAGGCUAGAGGUACUCCUGGGGUAGAGGUGAAAUUCUGUAAUCCUAGGGGGACCACCAGUGGCGAAGGCGUCUAGCUAGAACGGGUCUGACGGUGAGGGACGAAGCCCUGGGGCACAAACCGGAUUAGAUACCCGGCUAGUCCAGGGUGUAAACGCUGCUUGCUUGAUGUUAGCCGGGCUCCGAGCCCAGCUAGUGUCGGAGAGAAGUUGUUAAGCCCACCACCUGGGAAGUACGGUCGCAAGGCUGAAACUUAAAGGAAUUGGCGGGGGAGCACAGCAACGGGAGGAGCGUGCGGUUU